GCCUAACACAUGCAAGUCGAGCGAAGCACUUUGCUUAGAUUCUUCGGAUGAAGAGGAUUGUGACUGAGCGGCGGACGGGUGAGUAACGCGUGGGUAACCUGCCUCAUACAGGGGGAUAACAGUUAGAAAUGACUGCUAAUACCGCAUAAGACCACAGCACCGCAUGGUGCGGGGGUAAAAACUCCGGUGGUAUGAGAUGGACCCGCGUCUGAUUAGCUAGUUGGUAAGGUAACGGCUUACCAAGGCGACGAUCAGUAGCCGACCUGAGAGAGUGAACGGCCACAUUGGGACUGAGACACGGCCCAAACUCCUACGGGAGGCAGCAGUGGGGAAUAUUGCACAAUGGGGGAAACCCUGAUGCAGCGACGCCGCGUGAGCGAUGAAGUAUUUCGGUAUGUAAAGCUCUAUCAGCAGGGAAGAAAAUGACGGUACCUGACUAAGAAGCCCCGGCUAACUACGUGCCAGCAGCCGCGGUAAUACGUAGGGGGCAAGCGUUAUCCGGAUUUACUGGGUGUAAAGGGAGCGUAGACGGCAUGGCAAGCCAGAUGUGAAAGCCCGGGGCUCAACCCCGGGACUGCAUUUGGAACUGUCAGGCUAGAGUGUCGGAGAGGAAAGCGGAAUUCCUAGUGUAGCGGUGAAAUGCGUAGAUAUUAGGAGGAACACCAGUGGCGAAGGCGGCUUUCU
RNAcentral lists this ribosomal RNA (684 nucleotides) under uncultured Lachnospiraceae bacterium. RNAcentral's name for it is "bacterial SSU rRNA". It matches the Rfam family "Bacterial small subunit ribosomal RNA", at positions 46 to 730 of the family's 1533-position model. The record is from RNAcentral. Lineage: Bacteria; Bacillati; Bacillota; Clostridia; Lachnospirales; Lachnospiraceae.